RNAcentral lists this ribosomal RNA (497 nucleotides) under uncultured bacterium. RNAcentral's name for it is "partial 16S ribosomal RNA". It matches the Rfam family "Bacterial small subunit ribosomal RNA", at positions 28 to 507 of the family's 1533-position model. The record is from RNAcentral.
GAUGAACGCUGGCGGCGUGCCUAAUACAUGCAAGUCGAGCGAACGGACGAGAAGCUUGCUUUUCUGAUGUUAGCAGCGGACGGGUGAGUAACACGUGGAUAACCUACCUAUAAGACUGGGAUAACUUCGGGAAACCGGAGCUAAUACCGGAUAAUAUUUUGAACCGCAUGGUUCAAAAGUGAAAGACGGCCUUGCUGUCACUUAUAGAUGGAUCCGCGCUGCAUUAGCUAGUUGGUAAGGUAACGGCUUACCAAGGCAACGAUGCAUAGCCGACCUGAGAGGGUGAUCGGCCACACUGGAACUGAGACACGGUCCAGACUCCUACGGGAGGCAGCAGUAGGGAAUCUUCCGCAAUGGGCGAAAGCCUGACGGAGCAACGCCGCGUGAGUGAUGAAGGUCUUCGGAUCGUAAAACUCUGUUAUUAGGGAAGAACAUAUGUGUAAGUAACUGUGCACAUCUUGACGGUACCUAAUCAGAAAGCCACGGCUAACUACGUG